GUUAUUUCUCUUUAAAAACUUUACUUGUUUAGAAGUUAUUACGAAUCAAACAGGAGUACUUUUUUUUGGGCCACCCGGUAGAAAAAUUACUGUAAUACUUCAUCAAGAGUUUAUUUUAAGAGGAAAAAUUGGGGUUAUCUUUUAAUAAAGUCGUUGAGUAUUUUAAUUAAUAAAAAUUAUUGUAAAUAUAGAUGAUAGAUUUGAAUUAUCUUUGUUUAUUUGAACAUGUGUUAUUGCAGUGUAAUGUUUUACCAUGUUAUUGCAGUGUAAUGUUUUCAACCAACUCCUUCAGAUUCAUAAAUACAUUGUACAGCAUUGA
Non-coding RNA from Paramuricea clavata, 319 nucleotides. The record is from the annotation of a GenBank genome assembly. Lineage: Eukaryota; Metazoa; Cnidaria; Anthozoa; Malacalcyonacea; Plexauridae.